Molecule: ribosomal RNA, 460 nt
Filed under: uncultured bacterium
Lineage: Bacteria
Description: partial 16S ribosomal RNA
Rfam family: Bacterial small subunit ribosomal RNA
Source: RNAcentral
CCUACGGGUGGCUGCAGUGAGGAAUAUUGGUCAAUGGGCGCGAGCCUGAACCAGCCAAGUCGCGUGAAGGAUGACUGCCCUACGGGUUGUAAACUUCUUUUAUAAAGGAAUAAAGUGAGGCACGUGUGCCUUUUUGUAUGUACUUUAUGAAUAAGGAUCGGCUAACUCCGUGCCAGCAGCCGCGGUAAUACGGAGGAUCCGAGCGUUAUCCGGAUUUAUUGGGUUUAAAGGGAGCGUAGAUGGGUUGUUAAGUCAGUUGUGAAAGUUUGCGGCUCAACCGUAAAAUUGCAGUUGAUACUGGGAGGCUUGAGUACAGUUGAGGUAGGCGGAAUGCGUGGUGUAGCGGUGAAAUGCUUAGAUAUCACGAAGAACCCCGAUUGCGAAGGCAGCCUACUAAGCUGCCACUGACGCUGAUGCUCGAAAGUGUGGGGAUCAAACAGGAUUAGAUACCCUUGUAGUC